Cucurbita pepo subsp. pepo (vegetable marrow) is the source of this 72-nucleotide non-coding RNA. The record is from the annotation of a RefSeq genome assembly. NCBI's taxonomy places the organism in Eukaryota, Viridiplantae, Streptophyta, Magnoliopsida, Cucurbitales, Cucurbitaceae.
GGAUCCGUAGUGCAAUGGUAGCGCGUUUGACUCCAGAUCAAAAUAUUGCGUGUUCGAUUCACGUUGGGUUCA